GAUGAACGCUGGCGGCGUGCCUAAUACAUGCAAGUCGAGCGAACAGACGAGGAGCUUGCUCCUCUGACGUUAGCGGCGGACGGGUGAGUAACACGUGGAUAACCUACCUAUGAGACUGGGAUAACUUCGGGAAACCGGAGCUAAUACCGGAUAAUAUAUUGAACCGCAUGGUUCAAUAGUGAAAGACGGUUUUGCUGUCACUUAUAGAUGGAUCCGCGCCGCAUUAGCUAGUUGGUAAGGUAACGGCUUACCAAGGCAACGAUGCGUAGCCGACCUGGGAGGGGGAUCGGCCACACUGGAACUGAGACACGGUCCAGACUCCUACGGGAGGCAGCAGUAGGGAAUCUUCCGCAAUGGGCGAAAGCCUGACGGAGCAACGCCGCGUGAGUGAUGAAGGUCUUCGGAUCGUAAAACUCUGUUAUUAGGGAAGAACAAAUGUGUAAGUAACUAUGCACGUCUUGACGGUACCUAAUCAGAAAGCCACGGCUAACUACGUG
RNAcentral lists this ribosomal RNA (497 nucleotides) under uncultured bacterium. RNAcentral describes it as "partial 16S ribosomal RNA". It matches the Rfam family "Bacterial small subunit ribosomal RNA", at positions 28 to 507 of the family's 1533-position model. The record is from RNAcentral.